Molecule: ribosomal RNA, 22 nt
Filed under: Symbiodinium sp.
Lineage: Eukaryota; Dinophyceae; Suessiales; Symbiodiniaceae
Also listed under: 54 other names
Description: partial large ribosomal RNA subunit
Source: RNAcentral
UAGCAUGAAGUCAGACAAGUGA